GUGAGUUUUUACUGCAUCAACUCCUGGAGAGAGGCAGUCACACCUUUACAAAAGGAGCAUGAGCUCCAAGCGAAGGCGCUUUGUGGAAUGGGAAUGGAUGGUGUUUAAGUGUGGUGGAAGAUACAUCCAUCUGAGGAGUGACUCUGUCUUGGUUGUCCCAAAGCUGUAGAAAUAGUCCAUUGUGUAAAUGUUCCAUAGCUGUUUAUUCAUUCAUCUACUGAUGGACACUUGGGGAAGGGAGGAAGAAAGAAGGGGAGAGAAACAUCACUGUGUGAGGCAACAAUGAUCAGCAGCCUCUGGCAUACACCCCAACAAGGACAACCCACAACCCAGGAACAUCUCCUUAAUUUUAACCUUGGGCGGACUCUGACCAAGAUGGAGGCAUAGCUAGACACACUGUGCCUCCACAAACAACCAAAAUUAAGGACAACAAAAAUAUAUAGAAACAAACAAACAAACAAAAAACAACUAGAACUGAGAGAAAAUUGAACUGUAUGGAAGUCCGACAACCAUUCAUCCAGACCAGUAAGAGGGGUUGAGUCAGCGGCCGGCAGAGAGGGGUUGCAGCAGAAAAAAGUGGUGGCUGGUGGACCCAGGUGCGCAGGUGGCAACUGUCAUACCCAAGGCGUGGGGAGGCAAUGAGCAGACCCAGUGUGGCACUCAAGGUGGCUGGCUGACUGUGGUCCCACAUUCGUGCACAGAUAACCAGGUGAAAACAGGCAUCAAGACAGACCAUGCAACCCAGGGCCUCUGCGCUGGAAAAUAAAGCCUAAAAGCACCGAUUGAAAACACUUUGGGGGUUGAGGUGUCUGGAGAGACUCCCAGACUCACAGGAGAGUUCAUUGGAGAGACCCACAGGGUCCUAGAAUGUACGCAAACUCACCCACAUGGGAAUCAGCACCAGAAGGGCCCAAUUUGCUUGUGGGAAGCAGCAGAGGGGAAUGAAAUCUGAGAGAGAGUGGAGCAAGUGCUAUUGUUCCCUCUCUGAGCCUGCCCCCACAUACAGCAUCACAACCCAGCAAUGUGGGUUGGUCUGCCUUGGUGAACACCUAAGGCCCCACCCCUCACUGCAUAACAGGUGCGACCAGACCAAAAAAAAAUUUUAAAGUCUCAAAUGGAAGAACUGAUUGAAGCCCCAAAACCAAUACUUUUAAGAGACGAAGGGAUAGCCAACCUAUCAGAUGCACAGUCCAAAGCACUAGUGAUCAGGAUGCUCACAGAAUUGAUAUUUUUGUCACAAAUUAGAUGAAAAAAUGAAGGCUAUAGUAAGUGAAAUGAAGGAAAAUGCACAGGGAACAAAUAGUAAUGGGAAGGAAACUGAGACUCAAAGCAAUUGGAGUGGGCCAGAAGGAAGAAAGAAACAACCAAACAGAAAAGAAUGAAGUAACAAGAAUUCAAAAAAAUGAGGAGAGGCUAAGGAACCUCCAGGACAUCUUUAAACGUUCCAACAUUUGAAUUAUAGGGGUACCAGAAGAAGAAGAGGAAGAACAACAAGUGGAAAGCUUAUUUGAACAAAUAAUGAAGGAGAACUUCCCUAAUCUAGCAAAGGAAAUAGACUGCUAGGAAGUCCAGGAAGCUCAGAGAGUCCUGAACAAGUUGGACCAAAGGAAGAACACACCAAGGUUCAUCAUAAGUACAUUACCCAAGAUUAAAAUGAAGGAGACAAUUCUAGAAGAAACAAGAGAUAAGGGGACAAUCACCUACAAAGGAGUUCCCAUCAGACUGUCAGCUGAUUUCUCCAAAGAGACCUUUCAGGCAAGAAGGGGCUGAAAAGAAGUAUUCCAAGUCAUGAAAUCCAAAGACCUACAUCCAAGAUUGCUCUAUCCAGCAAAGCUUGCAUUUAAAAUGGAAGGGCAGAUAAAGUGCUUCUCAGAUAAGGUCAAGUUCAAGGAGUUUAUCAUCACCAAGCCCUUACUAUAUGAAAUGUUAAAGGGACUUAUCUAAGGAAAAGAAGAUAAAAAACAUGAACAGUAAAAAGACAGCAAACUCCAUUAUUAACAACCACACUUAAAACAAAAGCAAACUAAGCAAACAACUAGAACAUGAACAGAACCACAGAAAGGAAAUCACAUGGAGGGUUAGCAACAGGGGAGUGGGAGGAUGGGAGAUGGGGAAAAGGUACCGAGAAUAAGUAGCAUAGAUGGUAGGUAGAAAAUAGAUGGGGAAGGCAAAAAUAGUAUGGGAAAUGUGAAAGCUAAUGAACUUAAGACACAUGGACAUGAACUAAAGUGGGGAAUGUGCAUGGGAAGGGGUGUUCAGGGUAA
Artibeus jamaicensis (Jamaican fruit-eating bat) is the source of this 2264-nucleotide long non-coding RNA. RefSeq lists it as uncharacterized. NCBI's taxonomy places the organism in Eukaryota, Metazoa, Chordata, Mammalia, Chiroptera, Phyllostomidae. The transcript has 3 exons. The record is from RefSeq and is a predicted model, not a curated record.